This is a long non-coding RNA of Arvicanthis niloticus (Nile rat), 252 nucleotides long. RefSeq lists it as uncharacterized. The record is from RefSeq and is a predicted model, not a curated record. NCBI's taxonomy places the organism in Eukaryota, Metazoa, Chordata, Mammalia, Rodentia, Muridae.
CCUGCAUGCACAGGGGCCAGUGAUUCUCAACCUGUGGGUCCUUCGAGGUCCUAUCAGAUAGCCUAAAUAUCAGGUAUAAAGAGCUCCUCUGUGGCCAGGGAAGUGAGUUGCAGAGGAGAUGUCAGUGUUUUGAAAGUUGUUUCUGAAACUUCACCGGGGGAUUGGUGGAACUAAUAAUAUAUCCACCUCACAAGAGAUGAACUUUGUUUUCUCAGUAGAAAAUUGUUCUCUGCUUCAGAAAACAUGUCUUGC